RNAcentral lists this ribosomal RNA (560 nucleotides) under uncultured soil bacterium. RNAcentral's name for it is "bacterial SSU rRNA". It matches the Rfam family "Bacterial small subunit ribosomal RNA", at positions 33 to 583 of the family's 1533-position model. The record is from RNAcentral.
ACGCAUGGCGGCAUGCCUUACACAUGCAAGUCGAACGGCAGCACGGGGGCAACCCUGGUGGCGAGUGGCGAACGGGUGAGUAACACAUCGGAACGUACCCAGUUGUGGGGGAUAACCCAUCGAAAGGUGGGCUAAUACCGCAUGAUCUGGAGACAGCAAAGCAGGGGACCGGAAACGGCCUUGCGCGAUUGGAGCGGCCGAUGUCCGAUUAGCUAGUUGGUGGGGUAAAGGCCUACCAAGGCGACGAUCGGUAGCUGGUCUGAGAGGAUGAUCAGCCACACUGGGACUGAGACACGGCCCAGACUCCUACGGGAGGCAGCAGUGGGGAAUUUUGGACAAUGGGGGCAACCCUGAUCCAGCCAUGCCGCGUGAGUGAAGAAGGCCUUCGGGUUGUAAAGCUCUUUCGGUAGGAACGAAACGGUUACGACUAAUACUCGUGACUAAUGACGGUACUUACAGAAGAAGCACCGGCUAACUACGUGCCAGCCAGCCGCGGUAAUACGUAGGGUGCGAGCGUUAAUCGGAAAUUACUGGGCGUAAAGCGUGCGCAGGCGGUUAUU